CAGCAGCCGCGGGAAUACGAAGGGUGCAAGCGUUAAUCGGAAUUACUGGGCGUAAAGCGUGCGUAGGCGGUGAGUUAAGUCUGCUGUGAAAUCCCCGGGCUCAACCUGGGAACUGCGCUUGUGACUGCACAGCUAGAGUAUGGCAGAGGGGGGUGGAAUUCCACGUGUAGCAGUGAAAUGCGUAGAGAUGUGGAGGAACACCGAUGGCGAAGGCAGCCCCCUGGGCCAAUACUGACGCUCAUGCACGAAAGCGUGGGGAGCAAACAGGAUUAGAUACCCGAGUAGUCCCUGUCUCUUAUAC
RNAcentral lists this ribosomal RNA (301 nucleotides) under uncultured bacterium. Its description in RNAcentral is "partial 16S ribosomal RNA". It matches the Rfam family "Bacterial small subunit ribosomal RNA", at positions 509 to 807 of the family's 1533-position model. The record is from RNAcentral.